GCCUUAACAGGGCGACUUGAGUCCCGCGCCGCGGACGCGAAGCCGGGUGAGCUAUCCGUGGGCAGGCUGAAGCGGGGGUAAGACCCCGUGGAGGGCCGAACGCACGUCGGUUGAAAACGGCGGCGAUGACCUGCGGAUAGGGGUGAAAGGCCAAUCAAACCCGGAGAUAUCUCGUUCUCCCCGAAAUAGCUUUAGGGCUAGCGUCGCGCGUUCACCGCCGGAGGUAGAGCACCGGAUGGACGAGGGGGCUUCGCCGCCUACCGAAUCCAACCGAACUCCGAAUGCCGGCGGCCCAGAGCGCGGCAGUCAGAGCAUGUGGGCUAAGCUGUGUGCUCGAGAGGGAAACAGCCCGGACCGCCCGCUAAGGUCCCCAAGUUCCAGCCGAGUGGCAAAGGAUGUGCGUCCGCCCAGACAACCAGGAUGUUGGCUUAGAAGCAGCCAUCCAUUCAAAGAGUGCGUAACAGCUCACUGGUCGAGUGGACAUGCGCCGACAAUACACGGGGCUAAGCUGGACACCGAAGCGGCGGGAUUUUAAUUCAUUAGAAUCGGUAGGGGAGCUUCCCAUGGGCGGAGAAGCCGGAGGGCGACCGACGGUGGAGCGCAUGGGAGUGAGAAUGCUGGCAUGAGUAGCGAGAGACGAGAGAGUAACUCGUCCGCCGUGAACCCGAGGUUUCCUGGGCAAGGCUAAUCCUCCCAGGGUCAGUCGGGGGCUAAGGCGAGGCCGGUAGGCGUAGCCGACGCGCAGCAGGCAGACAUUCCUGCACCGCGCACGCGGCGCUACGACCGACGGGGCGACGGAUGGGGGUGGCUCGGCGGGGUUCUGGACGUCCCCGUGAUGGAGCGCGGCCCGCGGACCAGGGAAAUCCGGGCCGCAUCGAGGGCGAGGCUCCGGACGAAGCGACUGAGCGAAGCGAGUGAGCCCGAGGUCCCUAGAAAAACCCCUAGGCAGGCGCGUGCGCGCCCGUACCGCAAACCGACACAGGUGGGUGGGUAGAACAUACCGAGGCGAUCGGGUCAACCAUGGUCAAGGAACUCGGCACAAUGGCCCCGUAACUUCGGGAGAAGGGGUGCCCGCGCGUACGUGAACCGGCUUGCCCGGGGAGCGGAGGCGGGCCGCAGUGGAGAGGCCCAAGCGACUGUUUACCAAAAACACAGGACUCUGCAGAAGCCGCAAGGCGACGUAUAGGGUCUGACGCCUGCCCGGUGCCGGAAGGUCACGCGGAGGAGUUAGCCAUUUCGGCGAAGCCCCGAAGCCAAGCCCCGGUAAACGGCGGCCGUAACUAUAACGGUCCUAAGGUAGCGAAAUUCCUUGUCGGGUAAGUUCCGACCUGCACGAAAGGCGCAACGACUUGGGCGCUGUCUCGACCAUGGACCCGGUGAAAUUGCACUGGUCGUGAAGAUGCGACUUACCCGCGGAAGGACGGAAAGACCCCGUGAACCUUCACUGCAGCUUGGCAUUGGCCGCUGGUCCCGCGUGUAGAGGAUAGGCAGGAGGCAUCGAUCCGGAGGCGCCAGCCCCCGGGGAGCCGCCCUUGGAAUACUGCCCUCGCGCGACCGGCGUCCUAACCCGAGGCCGUCAACCGGCUCGGGGACCGUGCCAGGCGGGCAGUUUGACUGGGGCGGUCGCCUCCUAAAGGGUAACGGAGGCGCGCGAAGGUCCGCUCGGGACGGUCGGCAACCGUCCUUUUGAAUGCAAGAGUACAAGCGGGCUUGACUGCGAGGCCCACAAGCCGAGCAGGUGCGAAAGCAGGCUCUAGUGAUCCGGCGGCCCCGAGUGGGUGGGCCGUCGCUCAACGGAUAAAAGGUACUCCGGGGAUAACAGGCUGAUCUUGCCCAAGAGUCCACAUCGACGGCAAGGUUUGGCACCUCGAUGUCGGCUCAUCGCAUCCUGGGGCUGGAGCAGGUCCCAAGGGUACGGCUGUUCGCCGUUUAAAGCGGUACGCGAGCUGGGUUCAGAACGUCGUGAGACAGUUCGGUCCCUAUCCUCCG
This 1989-nucleotide ribosomal RNA is filed under the name human gut metagenome. Its description in RNAcentral is "bacterial LSU rRNA". It matches the Rfam family "Bacterial large subunit ribosomal RNA", at positions 681 to 2647 of the family's 2925-position model. The record is from RNAcentral.